UGGGGAAUCUUGCACAAUGCGCGAAAGCGUGAUGCAGCAACGCCGCGUGCGGGAAGACGGCCUUCGGGUUGUAAACCGCUUUCAGUUGGGACGAAGGUCGACGCGUUAAUAGCGCGUUCGGCUGACGGUACCUUCACAAGAAGCCCCGGCUAACUACGUGCCAGCAGCCGCGGUAAUACGUAGGGGGCAAGCGUUGUCCGGAAUCAUUGGGCGUAAAGAGCGUGUAGGCGGCCUGAUAAGUCGGCUGUGAAAGUCAAGGGCUCAACCCUUGAAUGCCGGCCGAUACUGUCAGGCUAGAAUCCGGAAGAGGCGAGUGGAAUUCCUGGUGUAGCGGUGAAAUGCGCAGAUAUCAGGAGGAACACCUAUGGCGAAGGCAGCUCGCUGGGACGGUAUUGACGCUGAGACGCGAAAGCGUGGGGAGCGAACAG
Molecule: ribosomal RNA, 428 nt
Filed under: uncultured bacterium
Lineage: Bacteria
Description: bacterial SSU rRNA
Rfam family: Bacterial small subunit ribosomal RNA
Source: RNAcentral